Monodelphis domestica (gray short-tailed opossum) is the source of this 569-nucleotide long non-coding RNA. RefSeq lists it as uncharacterized. The record is from RefSeq and is a predicted model, not a curated record. Lineage: Eukaryota; Metazoa; Chordata; Mammalia; Didelphimorphia; Didelphidae.
UCACUAAUGAACCGGAGAUGCACCAUUUCCUGUGUAAUGUCAUGAAAAAGCAUUUCUACAAAAAAAGAAGAGCAUUUGUUACAUUCAGUUGCUAGAUCCAAACCAUCAACCUCACUGCUAUGGAAAGUUCAAAGAGGGAUUCACAUUUUUAGCCAAAUAUGGAAAGCCUUUGGCAUUGGUGAAAAGAGAAAAUGCAACUUAACCGGUAAAGUGAACACAUGUUCACUUGGAAAUAAUGGAAAAUUUAGGAAUGACAUAUGGAAAGCCGAGUGGAAAUAAACACAGCCUAAAGUUAAAGUAACCAGGGCAAGGAAAAGGGACUCCUUUGGGAAGAACAGCUGAUUUAACAUUUUAAAACAAUGCACAGAGGAGAACUGAAGAAAGUCCUAAGAAAAAACAUAAACCAUAAGGACAGCUCUGGAACUGAAUCAUUGAAUUUGCUAAUAUUUUUCUGCAUCAAAGCAAAAUCACUGUAUGAAAAGAUGCUCAUCUAAUGGAAGCAUGAAGGCAAACACCAAAGGAUGAAGAUCUGCCUAAUGAUGAUGUAAAUUCUUGCCCUUGAAUCAAAG